RNAcentral lists this ribosomal RNA (483 nucleotides) under uncultured bacterium. RNAcentral describes it as "partial 16S ribosomal RNA". It matches the Rfam family "Bacterial small subunit ribosomal RNA", at positions 28 to 507 of the family's 1533-position model. The record is from RNAcentral.
GAUGAACGCUGGCGGCGUGCCUAACACAUGCGAGUCGAACGGAGUCGUUUUGGAAAUCUCUCCGGAGAUGGAAUUCUCGACUUAUUGGCGGACGGGUGAGUAACUCGUGAGCAAUCUGCCUUUAAGAGGGGGAUAACAGUCGGAAACGGCUGCUAAUACCGCAUAAAGCAUUAAAUUCGCAUGUUUUUGAUGCCAUAGGAGCAAUCCGCUUUUAGAUGAGCUCGGGUCUGAUUAGCUAGUUGGCGGGGUAACGGCCCACCAAUGCGGCGAUCAGUAGCCGGCGUGAGCGGAGGCACGGCCACAAUGGCAAUGAGACGCGGCACAGGCGACUACGGGAGGAAGCAGUGGGGAAUAAUGCGGCAUGGGGGAAACAGUGACGAAGGAACGCCGCGUGAUAAAAGAAGGCAUUCGGGAUGUAAAGAUCUUUAAUCAGGGACGAAAAACAUGACGGUACCUGAAGAAUAAGCCCCGGCUAACUACGUG